GCUAGACACAGUCGCAUGUGCCUAUAGUCCCAGCUACUUAGGAGGCUGAGACAGGAGGAUCACUUGAGUCCAACAGUUCUGGACUGUAGCACGCUAUGCCAAUCAGGCGUCUGCAGUAAGUUCAGCAUCAAUGUGGUGACCUCCCGGGAGUGGGGUCCAUCAGGUUGCCUAAGGAGGGGUGAACCAGCCCAGAUUGGAAACAGAGCAGAUCGAAACUUCCAUGCUGAUCAGUAGUGGAAUCGCUCCUGUGAAUAGCCACUGCACUCCAGCCUGGGCAACAUAGCAAGAACCUGUUUCUU
Molecule: non-coding RNA, 299 nt
Organism: Otolemur garnettii (small-eared galago)
Lineage: Eukaryota; Metazoa; Chordata; Mammalia; Primates; Galagidae
Source: Rfam